RNAcentral lists this non-coding RNA (182 nucleotides) under Lachnospiraceae bacterium. RNAcentral describes it as "6S RNA". It matches the Rfam family "6S / SsrS RNA". From Rfam's summary of the family: E. coli 6S RNA was the first non coding RNA to be sequenced, but its function was unknown until recently. Lineage: Bacteria; Bacillati; Bacillota; Clostridia; Lachnospirales; Lachnospiraceae. The record is from RNAcentral.
ACUAACCUGAAAUGCACGAUAAUUCUUGUUGUUUUGAACCUACAUUUACUUUAAACGGGAUUCCUACAUCGUCACGUGGAUGUCAAGCCUCCGUCUUGCAGUGGAAGGCAGAAGCGUGUCUGCGGUUACCCACCUAGCAUCGCUAGGAGUCAAAAGACAAGAACCGGCAUUUUGGGGACACA